AUGGCGAUCUCGCGCCUGCGCAUCCUCCCCCUCCCCUCCUCGUCGUCGUUCUUCUCCGCGCCCUCGCCUCCCCCCCACGCAAGCCGCCGCGAGAGGCGGCCUCGAUCCCUCGCCAGGUUCCGCUCUCUCCCUCCCUCUCUGGAUUCCAUUUCCUGGGGCCUCGACCCCCGCGCGCGCGCCCGCCCCGCCGUCGCUUCCCCGUCCCGCGGCUCCAUCCCGUGGCCCGUCGCCGGCAAGCCGCCGGCUGCGAGGAAGAAGGCAGGCGCGGCGCUCGGCACACCACUGGUUCGGGGCUCCUGA
RNAcentral lists this ribosomal RNA (300 nucleotides) under Triticum aestivum (bread wheat). Its description in RNAcentral is "partial small subunit ribosomal RNA". The record is from RNAcentral. Lineage: Eukaryota; Viridiplantae; Streptophyta; Magnoliopsida; Poales; Poaceae.